Chiloscyllium plagiosum (whitespotted bambooshark) is the source of this 794-nucleotide long non-coding RNA. RefSeq lists it as uncharacterized. The record is from RefSeq and is a predicted model, not a curated record. Lineage: Eukaryota; Metazoa; Chordata; Chondrichthyes; Orectolobiformes; Hemiscylliidae.
GGGCUUGAAUUCUUUGAUUCCUGAAGUUGAAUGUCCUCACAUGGUCUAAAUAAGUGUGCACUAUUCGAUGUAAUCAUGAGACUGGUUGUGAGAUUUUCUUCGUCCUGUGAUGAGAAGAUACUGGUUUGAAAUGAUGAAUCAGUGAGAAUGCUGAUGAACUUGUUGGAUCUAAGGAGCAAAUGUCAGAUGCAGGCACAACAACAUAAGUGCACUAUUCCACCUCAUUUGCAAGAUUGGCUGGGAGUUUCUUAGUUCCAUCAUGUGAGGAUCCUUCGAAAUGAAGAGUCGAAGAACAAUUGAUAACUGAGGUGCAAGUGAGAAGUUGCACCGUGUUGGCAUCAGUCUGAGACCUUGUUUGGAAGGAGUUUCUUAGUCUCAUUUUGUGAAGCUAUUUGAAGUGAAGAAUUGAGAAUGAUAACUGAGCCAGUUAAUAUAGGAAGAAGUACUGGGAGCUGCAGGCACAUUUAUUGGAGUAGACCAUCCUGACUACAGACUUGAGAGAAGAACCUUACGGUCUGAAGAUUACAGAACCUACCAUUCACAAGCAAGACUGUCAUUCAGAUACAAUAAUGAAAACUCAUCUGUGGGUGAAAGUUUUAGUCAGUUGCUGAAAGGAAUGUUCUGAAAAGCCAUGGACUGGUUCUGCAGAAUAUUGCUGAAUUUGAAUUCUCGAGCCUAAAUAUGCUUGUGCGUGGGUCCAAUCUAGUCUUACUCAACCAUAAAUUAAGCAAUCUUUUUACUUUGUAAUCAUGUGAAAUAAAUACAAUAAACUUGCUUUAAAAGGUGUAGCAUCA